AAUACGUAGGGUGCAAGCGUUGUCCGGAUUCACUGGGUGUAAAGGGUGCGCAGGCGGGCUCUUAAGUCAAAGGUGAAAUCUCACGGCUUAACCGUGAAAUUGCCUUUGAUACUGAGAGUCUUGAGUACGGGAGAGGGAGAUGGAAUUCCAGGUGUAGCGGUGAAAUGCGUAGAUAUCUGGAGGAACACCGGAGGCGAAGGCGGUCUCCUGGCCCGUUACUGACGCUCAUGCACGAAAGCGUGGGGAGCAAACAGGAUUAGAUACCCUGGUAGUCCACGCCCUAAACGAUGGGUACUAGAUGUCGGUCCCGAAAGGGGUCGGUGUCGAAGCUAACGCAUUAAGUACCCCACCUGGGGAGUACGAUCGCAAGGUU
RNAcentral lists this ribosomal RNA (373 nucleotides) under uncultured Chlorobiota bacterium. RNAcentral describes it as "bacterial SSU rRNA". It matches the Rfam family "Bacterial small subunit ribosomal RNA", at positions 522 to 895 of the family's 1533-position model. The record is from RNAcentral. Lineage: Bacteria; Pseudomonadati; Chlorobiota.